AAAUGCAAACCGGGGGUUUCACCACAGGCCUGCUGAGUCACAAACUCUAGGGGUGGGGCCCAGGAAUCUGCAUUUUAACAAGCCCUCCCAGUGAUUCUGAU
Molecule: microRNA precursor, 101 nt
Filed under: Loxodonta africana (African savanna elephant)
Lineage: Eukaryota; Metazoa; Chordata; Mammalia; Proboscidea; Elephantidae
Description: miRNA (ENSLAFG00000025262.1)
Source: RNAcentral